UGCAUGGGGCUGCGCCGGAGUAAUUUUCGGCGUACAGGCCACUAACAGAUGGUCGGACGGACAAAUCCGCUAGCCAUAUACAGCUUCGCUGUAGGAGAAAGAUGCUUUUGUGUUGGUUGUGUGCAUUUGCACUGUGUUCUUAUCGACGAUAGAAUUCCCUGCCGUCACAACAGCGCCGAAUGUUGCGACCAAAAUUUUUUCGAGAUCUUAAGCACAGUGGCCAGGAAGAAGCGGUAAACUUGCUGUUGCCUUACCAUCCUUUCUGCUACGUUGUGCAGAUCAUGCCUCUUCUUUCCAAGUGGCUGCCUGCGGAUGGCACAACUGUCGUAACAACAACGACAUCGAUGUUGUUCAUGGUGGAACCUGUCAACGGCAGCUCUUUGUAUCGAAACGUAGCGCCGACUACUUUCCCUGGGAUUCACGAGAAGCCAUCAUCACCGGCCACAACGGCUUCUGCCACUCAUAUAGAAGCCUGGAAGUAACCGUCUUAUUUCAGUGUCCAGGUUGGAGCGUCAACAUGCUGUCACCUUCCCAUCCUUUCUGCCACGUUGUGCAGGGGACGGCCGCAAGGACGGCGAUGCCGCGAGCGCUGAUCUAUUGCACCGCAGCAAAGAAACGUCGCAGCUCGUUCCGCUGCGACCGGAGCACGUCCCGGGGGCGGUACACGGUGUGACUGGCGCGCUCUCGCUUUGGCAAGCCCGCCGGUCUCUUUCGCUGCAUUUAGGAUACGAUACUAAAGCUGCUUGCGGGAGCCGAUACAUUCGGCUGAAAGCACGACGUACCCAACGGCAGCCAUCCCAUCUGACAGUUGCAGCCACGAAUGAAGAAGCAGCCGCAGACAUGCCACCUGGGCCGCGCGCUGACAAGGCUGGUGCAGUGCAGUCCUUGGAAGCUGGCAUAAGUUGCCAAACUGAGAUGACUGGGAGUGACAUCGUUCAUCUUGAAAAGGAAGAAGUGAGCCUACAACAAGAGCUUGCAUCUGUGAAGACGGAACUAGCGGCAGGAAAAUUCACCAAAACCGUACUGCGCCAUAAUGAUGAAAAAGUGUAUUAUACAAAGCUGCCGCCAUUUCUUAUGCUUUUUUCCCUGUUAAACCUUUUCAAAGAACACGUCUCACACUCUUCCAGUAAUGUCCUCACGCAGUUUGAGGAGCUGGUUAUGUUUCUCAUGCAGAUGAGACUUGCAAUUCACCUUCAAGAUUGGGCUUAUCGCUUUAAGGUGUCACAGCCAACCGCUUACAGAAUUUGCGAGAAGUGGCUAGACGUUUGUUACGACCACCUGAGUUCACUGGUGUACUGGCCUGAGAAAGAAGACGUAAUCAGAACCAUGACAGUUGGUUUCAUUGAGAAUUUGAGAAUUGAGAGAAUCGAGAAUUGAGAAUGUGAGGAUCAUAUUGGAUUGCUUUGAAGUUUUCAUCCAAAGGCCAAGUCCGCUUCUGACACGAGCUCAGACAUGAUCCCAGCACAAACAUCACAACACGAUGAAGUUCCUGAUAGCAAUAUGCCCACAAGCCAUGAUAACAUAUAUUUCUAAAGCAUUUGUUGGGGAUAUAGCGACAAGCUCAUCACUGAGGACAGCGGUGUGCUACAGUUACUUGACAGGGGAGACAUUGUUUUGGCAGCAAAAAGCCUUGAAAUGUGUUGUGCACACUGGCAAUCCCUGCCUUUGCAAAAGGUAAAAGGCAGCUAUCUAGCAGGGAAGUUGCGCAAACGAGGGAAAUCGCUAAUGUGCGCAUUCAAGUGGAGCGUGUAAUAGGACAGAGAGCUUGAGAAAUAGAAGACAGCAAAGGCAGGGAGGUUAACCAGACGCACGUCCAGUUUGCUACCCUGCACUGGGGGAAGGGGGUAUGGAGAUUAAGAGAGAGAGAGCGCAGUUUCACGCACAGUAUAAGGUUCCCACCGAGUCUACCCACGGUUUCCAAGACCUAUCGACUUGAGAUAUUUCAAGAGCGUUUUCGUGGCUUUCUGUGCCAUCGACGCGUAC
Molecule: non-coding RNA, 1983 nt
Organism: Dermacentor albipictus
Lineage: Eukaryota; Metazoa; Arthropoda; Arachnida; Ixodida; Ixodidae
Source: RefSeq, a predicted model, not a curated record